Non-coding RNA from Procambarus clarkii (red swamp crayfish), 478 nucleotides. Lineage: Eukaryota; Metazoa; Arthropoda; Malacostraca; Decapoda; Cambaridae. The record is from RefSeq and is a predicted model, not a curated record.
ACUCCGUUGCUCGAUCUGUGCGGGAUCGGAGCUCGCCGAUUACAAAAAUACACGUACAGUAUCUUCGCUUUAAAUACAAAUAUGCCCAUGGUAAGGCAUUUAAAAUGAAAAAGCCCUUGAUAAGAGAGAAUGUGUAGAUGGUUCACCAGUGGCCAUCUGUCAUACCUUAUACAACAUCCUCAUCAUCAUUUUGGACAAACAAGGCAAUCCUGUCAUUCAAGGUGGUGGACCAGAAACAUAAUUAGGUUCACGACGAGCUUGGGCUCCUGCCAACCCUGCUGGAAUGGUCUCGUAUAUUGGCUCUUUAGGCUUCUCUUCUUCAUGGUAUCCAUUAAUCUGUGGUGGUGGUGGCGGGGAAGACGAGGGAGGUGGAAGAGGUAGAGGCAGUUCACCAGGUGAAGGAGGAGGAAAUCCAUCAUUAACAGCUUCUGGUAACGGAGGAGGUGGGAGGCUGUUUUCCAGUUCCUCUGCACGGUUG